Molecule: non-coding RNA, 29 nt
Filed under: Mus musculus (house mouse)
Lineage: Eukaryota; Metazoa; Chordata; Mammalia; Rodentia; Muridae
Source: RNAcentral
UAAAUUUGGCUGCCAAUCCUCAGCAGAUC